AUUGAACGCUGGCGGCAGGCCUAACACAUGCAAGUCGAGCGAGCGGCGGACGGGUGAGUAAUGUAUGGGGACUGCCCGAUAGAGGGGGAUAACUACUGGAAACGGUAGCUAAUACCGCAUACUAUCGGAUAACCCAUAUGGGAUUAGCUGGUAGGUGAGGUAAUGGCUCACAUAGGCGACGAUCCCUAGCCGGUCUGAGAGGAUGAUCAGCCACACGGGGACUGAGACACGGCCCAGACUCCUACGGAGGCAGCAGUGGGGAAUAUUGCACAAUGGGCGAAAGUCUGAUGCAGCCACGCCGCGUGUAUGAAGAAGGCCCUAGGGUUGUAAAGGACUGUCAGUAGGGAGGCGUUACCGAAAGAAGAAGCACCGGCUAACUCCGUGCCAGCAGCCGCGGUAAUUC
RNAcentral lists this ribosomal RNA (403 nucleotides) under uncultured bacterium. RNAcentral describes it as "partial 16S ribosomal RNA". It matches the Rfam family "Bacterial small subunit ribosomal RNA", at positions 30 to 526 of the family's 1533-position model. The record is from RNAcentral.